AGUGAACGCUGGCGGUAGGCCUAACACAUGCCAGUCGAACGGCAGCACAGUAAGAGCUUGCUCUUACGGGUGGCGAGUGGCGGACGGGUGAGGAAUACAUCGGAAUCUACUUUUUCGUGGGGGAUAACGUAGGGAAACUUACGCUAAUACCGCAUACGACCUACGGGUGAAAGCAGGGGAUCUUCGGACCUUGCGCGAUUGAAUGAGCCGAUGUCGGAUUAGCUAGUUGGCGGGGUAAAGGCCCACCAAGGCGACGAUCCGUAGCUGGUCUGAGAGGAUGAUCAGCCACACUGGAACUGAGACACGGUCCAGACUCCUACGGGAGGCAGCAGUGGGGAAUAUUGGACAAUGGGCGCAAGCCUGAUCCAGCCAUACCGCGUGGGUGAAGAAGGCCUUCGGGUUGUAAAGCCCUUUUGUUGGGAAAGAUAAGCAGCAGGUUAAUACCCCGCUGUUCUGACGGUACCCAAAGAAUAAGCACCGGCUAACUUCGUG
RNAcentral lists this ribosomal RNA (492 nucleotides) under uncultured bacterium. Its description in RNAcentral is "partial 16S ribosomal RNA". It matches the Rfam family "Bacterial small subunit ribosomal RNA", at positions 29 to 507 of the family's 1533-position model. The record is from RNAcentral.